AUGAAUUGUUGCCUCUAAGCAGCUCCGUGGAAACUCUUGGAACUACAUUACAGCAUGGUUCAACAAUCAACUGGAAAGUUCAGAAAGCUCCAAAGGGAUUGGUAGAUUUGCCUCUGCGGGAAUGCCAAGAUACGAACGAUUCAGCGAUUGCGACAUCGAUCGGGCAAACAAGCCAACACAAUUGAAAAGCUGCGUACAUACACAUGUCUUGUGGUUAACAGGAAAUGAUUCCAAUAAAUAAACAAAAAGAAUAAAUCUUAAUUUAAUUCAAUUUAAUCUGUUUACGGUAUUUUAGAUGUGAAAAUGAUCAAAAUAAACAAAAAGAGUAAAAACUCAA
Molecule: long non-coding RNA, 337 nt
Organism: Wyeomyia smithii (pitcher-plant mosquito)
Lineage: Eukaryota; Metazoa; Arthropoda; Insecta; Diptera; Culicidae
Exons: 2
Source: RefSeq, a predicted model, not a curated record